UUUGUUCCCUCUGUGCAAACACUGAUGUUGUCUCUGAAGUGUAGGAUUUCCUUUGGUACUCUCUACACUUGAUCCUCUUCCAGAAUCCAAGAUACCAUCCAUGAGUUUUUCUCUAUGUUGAUCCACAUCUGGUUCGUUCUUUCUAGCCAGUCACAGGAUCUGCCUGUCUUCUGUGGCACAGAUACUUCCUUCAGCGCUGUAGCUGUUUUGUCUUUCCAUUUCUGUCUGUCUGGGUCUUUCUCUGUCUCCCCUCCCUCCACCCUCUCUUGAGGACUCUCAUGUUCAUUAUUUUCCUCGGGAAGAAUCUGACUGC
Molecule: long non-coding RNA, 313 nt
Filed under: Homo sapiens (human)
Lineage: Eukaryota; Metazoa; Chordata; Mammalia; Primates; Hominidae
Description: LHRI_LNC1099.1
Source: RNAcentral